UACGGGGGGGGCAAGCGUUGUUCGGAAUUACUGGGCGUAAAGGGCUCGUAGGCGGCCAACUAAGUCAGACGUGAAAUCCCUCGGCUUAACCGGGGAACUGCAUCUGAUACUGGAUGGCUUGAGUUCGGGAGAGGGAUGCGGAAUUCCGGGUGUAGCGGUGAAAUGCGUAGAUAUCUGGAGGAACACCGGUGGCGAAGGCGGCAUCCUGGACCGACACUGACGCUGAGGAGCGAAAGCCAGGGGAGCAAACGGG
RNAcentral lists this ribosomal RNA (253 nucleotides) under uncultured bacterium. RNAcentral's name for it is "partial 16S ribosomal RNA". It matches the Rfam family "Bacterial small subunit ribosomal RNA", at positions 524 to 776 of the family's 1533-position model. The record is from RNAcentral.